CGGCACGGUGAGUAACACGUAUGCAACCUGCCUGCCACAGCCGGAUAAUCGGGAGAAAUUCCGUCUAAUACGGCAUAAUGCAUCGACGGGACAUCCUGUUGGUGCCAAAGGUUAAUUCCGGUGGCGGAUGGGCAUGCGUCGCAUUAGUUAGUUGGCGGUGUAACGGACCACCAAGACGACGAUGCGUAGGGGUUCUGAGAGGAAGGUCCCCCACACUGGUACUGAGACACGGACCAGACUCCUACGGAAGGCAGCAG
This 257-nucleotide ribosomal RNA is filed under the name uncultured bacterium. Its description in RNAcentral is "partial 16S ribosomal RNA". It matches the Rfam family "Bacterial small subunit ribosomal RNA", at positions 99 to 354 of the family's 1533-position model. The record is from RNAcentral.